GAAUAUUGUUUAAUGUUCACUUGUAUAAAUCUAGCAAUAUGGGCUGGAUGUCUCUACCGAGCUACCUUAAAUAGUUGUAGGCUAUAAGUGCAUAUGCUUAUUGA
RNAcentral lists this non-coding RNA (104 nucleotides) under Clostridium carboxidivorans. RNAcentral describes it as "Guanine sequence". It matches the Rfam family "Purine riboswitch aptamer". From Rfam's summary of the family: Riboswitches are metabolite binding domains within certain messenger RNAs that serve as precision sensors for their corresponding targets. Allosteric rearrangement of mRNA structure is mediated by ligand binding, and this results in modulation of gene expression. A class of riboswitches that selectively recognises guanine and becomes saturated at concentrations as low as 5 nM. Lineage: Bacteria; Bacillati; Bacillota; Clostridia; Eubacteriales; Clostridiaceae. The record is from RNAcentral. RNAcentral also lists the same sequence under 1 other name.